RNAcentral lists this ribosomal RNA (271 nucleotides) under uncultured bacterium. RNAcentral's name for it is "partial 16S ribosomal RNA". It matches the Rfam family "Bacterial small subunit ribosomal RNA", at positions 78 to 354 of the family's 1533-position model. The record is from RNAcentral.
CUUAUGCCGGCGACCGGCGGACGGGUGCGUAACGCGUAUGUAACCUACCUUUGACAGGGGGAUAACAUCGAGAAAUUGGUACUAAUACCCCAUAACAUCACCGGAGGCAUCUUCGGUGGUUGAAAACUCAGGUGGUCAGAGAUGGACAUGCGUUGUAUUAGCUAGUUGGUGAGGUAACGGCUCACCAAGGCGACGAUACAUAGGGGGACUGAGAGGUCAACCCCCCACAUUGGUACUGAGACACGGACCAAACUCCUACGGGAGGCAGCAG